ACGUGCCAGCAGCCGCGGUAAGACGUAGGACGCGAGCGUUAUCCGGAUUUACUGGGCGUAAAGCGUGUGUAGGCGGCGUGACAAGUUGGGCGUGAAAGCCCCGUGCUCAACGCGGGGAGGCCGCACAAUACUGUCAGGCUAGAGGGCAUCAGAGGGGUGUGGAAUUCCCGGAGUAGCGGUAAAAUGCGCAGAUAUCGGGAGGAACACCGGUGGCGAAAGCGGCACCCUGGGGUGCACCUGACGCUGAGAGACGACAGCUAGGGGAGCGAACAGGAUUAGAGACCCUGGUAGUCCUAGCCGUAAACGAUGGAUGCUAGGUGUGGGAGUGAAGAACUUCUGUGCCGCAGCGAACGCGAUAAGCAUCCCGCCUGGGGAGUACGGCCGCAAGGUUAAAACUCAAACGAAUUGACGGGGACCCGCACAAGCAGCGGAGCGUGUGGUUUAAUUCGAUGCUACACGAAGAACCUUACCUGGGAUUGACAUAUGGGUGGUAGUGAGCCGAAAGGCAAGCGACCCUUCGGGGAGCCUAUACAGGUGCUGCAUGGCUGUCGUCAGCUCGUGCCGUGAGGUGUCGGGUUAAGUCCCGUAACGAGCGCAACCCCUGUCCUUAGUUACAAGUGUCUAAGGGGACUGCCGGCGGGAAGCCGGAGGAAGGUGGGGAUGACGUCAAGUCAGCAUGGCCCUUAUAUCCAGGGCGACACACACGCUACAAUGGUCGGUACAGAGGGCAGCGAAGCCGCGAGGUGGAGCGAAACCCAGAAAGCCGGUCGUAGUUCGGAUUGCAGGCUGCAACUCGCCUGCAUGAAGUUGG
RNAcentral lists this ribosomal RNA (811 nucleotides) under uncultured organism. Its description in RNAcentral is "bacterial SSU rRNA". It matches the Rfam family "Bacterial small subunit ribosomal RNA", at positions 503 to 1329 of the family's 1533-position model. The record is from RNAcentral.